GUGGGGAAUCUUGCGCAAUGGGCGAAAGCCUGACGCAGCAACGCCGCGUGCGGGAUGAAGGCCUUCGGGUUGUAAACCGCUUUCAGUAGGGACGAAAUUGACGGUACCUACAGAAGAAGCCCCGGCCAACUACGUGCCAGCAGCCGCGGUAACACGUAGGGGGCGAGCGUUGUCCGGAUUUAUUGGGCGUAAAGAGCUCGUAGGCGGCUCGGUAAGUCGGGUGUGAAAACUCUGGGCUCAACCCAGAGACGCCACCCGAUACUGCUGUGGCUUGAGUCCGGUAGGGGAGCGUGGAAUUCCUGGUGUAGCGGUGAAAUGCGCAGAUAUCAGGAGGAACACCAGCGGCGAAGGCGGCGCUCUGGGCCGGAACUGACGCUGAGGAGCGAAAGCGUGGGUAGCAAACAGGAUUAGAAACCCUAGUAGUCC
This 426-nucleotide ribosomal RNA is filed under the name uncultured bacterium. RNAcentral describes it as "bacterial SSU rRNA". It matches the Rfam family "Bacterial small subunit ribosomal RNA", at positions 354 to 796 of the family's 1533-position model. The record is from RNAcentral.